This 512-nucleotide ribosomal RNA is filed under the name uncultured bacterium. RNAcentral describes it as "partial 16S ribosomal RNA". It matches the Rfam family "Bacterial small subunit ribosomal RNA", at positions 28 to 507 of the family's 1533-position model. The record is from RNAcentral.
GACGAACGCUGGCGGCGUGCCUAAUACAUGCAAGUCGAGCGAGCGAAACUAACAGAUUUACUUCGGUAAUGACGUUAGGAAAGCGAGCGGCGGAUGGGUGAGUAACACGUGGGGAACCUGCCCCAUAGUCUGGGAUACCACUUGGAAACAGGUGCUAAUACCGGAUAAGAAAGCAGAUCGCAUGAUCAGCUUUUAAAAGGCGGCGUAAGCUGUCGCUAUGGGAUGGCCCCGCGGUGCAUUAGCUAGUUGGUAAGGUAAAGGCUUACCAAGGCGAUGAUGCAUAGCCUAGUUGAGAGACUGAUCGGCCACAUUGGGACUGAGACACGGCCCAAACUCCUACGGGAGGCAGCAGUAGGGAAUCUUCCACAAUGGACGCAAGUCUGAUGGAGCAACGCCGCGUGAGUGAAGAAGGUUUUCGGAUCGUAAAGCUCUGUUGUUGGUGAAGAAGGAUAGAGGUAGUAACUGGCCUUUAUUUGACGGUAAUCAACCAGAAAGUCACGGCUAACUACGUG